This 77-nucleotide transfer RNA is filed under the name bacterium. RNAcentral's name for it is "tRNA-Thr". It matches the Rfam family "tRNA". Rfam says of the family: Transfer RNA (tRNA) molecules are approximately 80 nucleotides in length. Their secondary structure includes four short double-helical elements and three loops (D, anti-codon, and T loops). Further hydrogen bonds mediate the characteristic L-shaped molecular structure. tRNAs have two regions of fundamental functional importance: the anti-codon, which is responsible for specific mRNA codon recognition, and the 3' end, to which the tRNAs corresponding amino acid is attached (by aminoacyl-tRNA synthetases). tRNAs cope with the degeneracy of the genetic code in two manners: having more than one tRNA (with a specific anti-codon) for a particular amino acid; and 'wobble' base-pairing, i.e. permitting non-standard base-pairing at the 3rd anti-codon position. RNAcentral also lists the same sequence under 1 other name. The record is from RNAcentral.
GCCAGUGUAGCUCAACGGACAAGAGCAGCUGUGUCGUAAGCAGACGGUUGGGGGUUCAAAUCCCUCCACUGGCUCCA